Molecule: ribosomal RNA, 460 nt
Filed under: uncultured bacterium
Lineage: Bacteria
Description: partial 16S ribosomal RNA
Rfam family: Bacterial small subunit ribosomal RNA
Source: RNAcentral
CCUACGGGUGGCAGCAGUGAGGAAUAUUGGUCAAUGGCCGUAAGGCUGAACCAGCCAAGUCGCGUGAAGGAAGAAGGAUCUAUGGUUUGUAAACUUCUUUUAUAGGGGAAUAAAGGUAUCCACGUGUGGAUAUUUUCAUGUACCCUAUUAAUAAGCAUCGUCUAACUCCGUGCCAGCAGCCCCGGUAAUACGGAGGAUGCGAGCGUUAUCCGGAUUUAUUGGGUUUAAAGGGUGCGUAGGUGGUUUUUUAAGUCAGCGGUGAAAGUUUGUGGCUCAACCAUAAAAUUGCCGUUGAAACUGGGAGACUUGAGGGUGUUUGAGGGAGGCGGAAUGCGAGGUGUAGCGGUGGAAUGCAUAGAUAUCACGAAGAACUCCGAUUGCGAAGGCAGCUUACUAAGCCAUAACUGACACUGAGGCACGAAAGCGUGGGGAUCAAACAGGAUUAGAUACCCUGGUAGUC